AAAAGGCGGCGUAAGCUGUCGCUAAAGGAUGGACCCGCGGUGCAUUAGCUAGUUGGUAAGGUAACGGCUUACCAAGGCGACGAUGCAUAGCCGAGUUGAGAGACUGAUCGGCCACAUUGGGACUGAGACACGGCCCAAACUCCUACGGGAGGCAGCAGUAGGGAAUCUUCCACAAUGGGCGAAAGCCUGAUGGAGCAACGCCGCGUGAGUGAAGAAGGUUUUCGGAUCGUAAAGCUCUGUUGUUGGUGAAGAAGGAUAGAGGUAGUAACUGGCCCCUAUUUGACGGUAAUCAACCAGAAAGUCACGGCUAACUACGUGCCAGCAGCCGCGGUAAUACGUAGGUGGCAAGCGUUGUCCGGAUUUAUUGGGCGUAAAGCGAGCGCAGGCGGAAAGAUAAGUCUGAUGUGAAAGCCCCCGGCUUAACCGAGGAAUUGCAUCGGAAACUGUGUUUCUUGAGUGCAGAAGAGGAGAGUGGAGCUCCAUGUGUAGCGGUGGAAUGCGUAGAUAUAUGGAAGAACACCAGUGGCGAAGGCGGCUCUCUGGUCUGUAACUGACGCUGAGGCUCGAAAGCAUGGGUAGCGAACAGGAUUAGAUACCCUGGUAGUCCAUGCCGUAAACGAUGAGUGCUAAGUGUUGGGAGGUUUCCGCCUCUCA
Molecule: ribosomal RNA, 654 nt
Filed under: uncultured bacterium
Lineage: Bacteria
Description: bacterial SSU rRNA
Rfam family: Bacterial small subunit ribosomal RNA
Source: RNAcentral